Transfer RNA from Ovis aries (sheep), 72 nucleotides. It matches the Rfam family "tRNA". From Rfam's summary of the family: Transfer RNA (tRNA) molecules are approximately 80 nucleotides in length. Their secondary structure includes four short double-helical elements and three loops (D, anti-codon, and T loops). The record is from Rfam. NCBI's taxonomy places the organism in Eukaryota, Metazoa, Chordata, Mammalia, Artiodactyla, Bovidae.
UCCCUGGUGGUCCAGUGGCUACGACUCUGUGCUUUCAUUGCCGAGGGCCAGGUUCAAUCCCUGGUUGGGGAA